AGCGAACGCUGGCGGCAGGCUUAACACAUGCAAGUCGAGCGGGCCCUUCGGGGUCAGCGGCGGACGGGUGAGUAACGCGUGGGAACGUGCCUUCUGGUUCGGAAUAACUCAGGGAAACUUGAGCUAAUACCGGAUACGCCCUUUUGGGGAAAGGUUUACUGCCGGAAGAUCGGCCCGCGUCUGAUUAGCUAGUUGGUGGGGUAACGGCCCACCAAGGCGACGAUCAGUAGCUGGUCUGAGAGGAUGAUCAGCCACACUGGGACUGAGACACGGCCCAGACUCCUACGGGAGGCAGCAGUGGGGAAUAUUGGACAAUGGGCGCAAGCCUGAUCCAGCCAUGCCGCGUGAGUGAUGAAGGCCUUAGGGUUGUAAAGCUCUUUUAUCCGGGACGAUAAUGACGGUACCGGAGGAAUAAGCCCCGGCUAACUUCGUGCCAGCCGCCGCAGUAA
Molecule: ribosomal RNA, 449 nt
Filed under: uncultured bacterium
Lineage: Bacteria
Description: partial 16S ribosomal RNA
Rfam family: Bacterial small subunit ribosomal RNA
Source: RNAcentral